This 3318-nucleotide long non-coding RNA is filed under the name Sus scrofa (pig). RNAcentral's name for it is "lncRNA (ENSSSCG00000060048.1)". Lineage: Eukaryota; Metazoa; Chordata; Mammalia; Artiodactyla; Suidae. The record is from RNAcentral.
GAAUAUGUUAUCUAGAUAUUUAUUCAUUUUUCUUCUGAUAUUUUACCUUAUUCAGGAAAUGUUCUUUUUUUCUCUGCUUGAUUUUUCUCCUUUCCAUUAAUGUUUUUAUAUGUAUACAAUUUUUGUUUUGCAUUAUAGUUAUUAGAUGGUAAAAAAAUCUCAUUUUUAUUUUUCCUCUUCAACAGAAGCUCGAAAACACCUUGACAUAACUGUAUUUAGAAACUUAAACAUUUGCCAUUCUACUAAAGCCUGUAGCAUUGGUAGCAUUAAUGCGAUCAGGGUAACAAACUUUUAUCGGUACGUUUUUGUGAAGUUCUUUUUCGUAGUGAAAAUAACAUGAAGUUACAGAGAGAACAGGUUUCUUUGACCUAACAGCUUUGUAAGCAUGAGCAGGAGACUAUCAGAAACUCAGUUUUGCUCACAUCCAAAUUAGACUACUAACAGGCUUGCUGUGAAAAUUAAAAAUGCUGAUGCACAUAAUGUCUAGCACAUAGCAGUUUCUUGACUAAGGUUAGUCAAAACCUUCUCUGCUCUUCUUUCCUUUCUCUGAUUCCCCUGAAAAUAGAAACUGUUCAUUUCUUGUUGUUGCUGUCUUUGAUAUCCAAGAAUGGUGGAAGUUUACUAGAAUAUACUUGGGAAGAAAUAGAGGUUUAUGUUCUAUUUGAUAAGCCUGCAUUAGUUGAUACCAUAUAAAGUGAUGGCUAAAGCCUCUGCUAUGCAGGAAUGUUACUGAUGUCAUAGACAAUGUUUCUGCAAAGAAAUCAAGUCAAUUUAUCAGGCAUUGAGUGGCCCCUGAAUCCUGUAUAAACCCGUAUGUUAUGUGUGCUUGGAGACACAAGUAAGAACGGGUCAUUUUCCUUGCCCUGAAGGUGCAACUGAUUUCAUGGAGAUAUAAAAUAGGUUAUAAAGUGCCCAUAAAACAGAGCAAAAUAAAAGGAAUGCUAGAGUGAGGUAUAAACCAUGUGCUGUUAGACAGGAGAAAUGAAAAAUUGUUUUGAUAUGAAUUUCAGUGAGAUAUAUUCUAAACAAUUAGAUUUAAAAAAGCAAAAAAAAAAAAAGACCAAAAUUUUCUCAUUGUUCCAAAUUCUCAUUUCAUGACUUUGGCCUGUAAAGGCAGUCUGCAUAUUACAUAAUGUGUCAAGUUUUAGACUAAAGAUGGUACUGUGAAAAACAAAGGAAAAAAGUACUUCUAUCCAAAAAUAUGCUAAUAUAUUGGUAACAGUCACAUAGGUCAGCUGGCUUAUUGGUCCAUACUUUUCUUUUUAAAUCUUAUAUGAGGAAAUCUGUGCCAUCAGACAUGAUUUAUCAUAUCCAAUACAGUGGAAUCAUAGCAAUAGUAGUGAUAAUAGCAGCAGCAGCAGUAGAAAUAGUAGGUGAAUGCUACUUCGUAAGUAAGUCACUGCCUUGGCUGUUUUAUUCAGUUUAUUGUUGAUCUGUUUUAUUUAUAGUUUAUUGAAUUCCAGCAUAUACUUUUGUGCAUUAUAUUUUAUUGAGAUAUAGUUUGUGUACAGCAAACUGCACAGGUGCCUUUUCUUUUUUUUAAAGAUUUUUAUUUUUUCUAUUAUAGUUGAUAUAUAAUGUUCUGUAAUUUCGGCUUUACAGCAAAGUGACUCAGUCAUACACAGACACACAUAUAUAUAUACAUAUACAUAUAUACACACACAUUCUUUUUCUCACAUAAGAACCUUUUCAAUGUGUUGGGGUUUUUUGUUGUUGUUUUGGGGCUCAAUGUGUUUUUCUUUUUUUUCUUUUUUUAUUACUCAAAUGAAUUUAUCGCAUCUGUAGUUGUAUAAUGAUCACAGCAAACUGAUUUCACAGGAUUUCCAUCCCGCAGCCCAAGCACAUCUCCCCACCCCCCAAACUGUCUCCUCAGAGACCAUAAGUUUUUCAAUGUCUGUGAGUCAGCAUCUGUUCUGCAAAGAAGUUCAGUCUGUCCUUUUUUCAGAUUCCACAUAUCAGUGAUAGCAUUUGAUGUUGGUGUCUCAUUGUAUGACUGAUCUCACUUAUCAUGAUAGUUUCUAGUUCCAUCCAUGUUGCUAAAAAUGCCGGUAUUUCAUUCUUUUUAAUGGCUGAGUAAUAUUCCAUUGGUUAUAUGUACCAGAUCUUCUUGAUCCACUCCUCUGUCGAUGGACAAUUAGGUUGUUUCCAUGUUUUGGCUACUGCAAAUAGUGCUGCAAUGAUCACGGAGUACAUGUGUCUUUUCAAGUCAUGGUUUUCUCUGGAUAGAUGCCCAGGAGUGGGAUUGCUGGAUCAAACGUUAGUUCUAUUUUUAGUUUUCUGAGGAACCUCCGUACUGCUUUCCACAGUGGUUGCAACAAUUUACAAUCCUUCAAUCUAAGAUUGACAUCAAGAAUAACACAUUUGGAGUUUCCAUAGUGGUUCAGUGGAAACGAAUCUGACUAGUAACCACAAGGACACAGGUUCAGUCCCUGGCCAGUGGGUUAAGGAUCUGGCACUGCCAUGAGCUGUGGUGUAGGUGGCAGACACAGCGCAGAUCCCAUGUUGCUAUGGCUGUGGCAUAGGCCAGCAGCUACUGCUCCGAUUUGACCCCUAGGCUGGAACCUUCCAUAUGCUGCCAAUGCAGCCCUAAAGAGACCUAAAUAAAUAAAUAAAUAAAUAAAUAAAUGGCACACUUUCAUUAUCCCAGAGAGUUCCUGAACUGACUCUGGAGACAACCAGUGUUCUAAUUUUUUUUACCAUAGAUUAAAUUUUCCUGUUCUGGAGCUUUUUCUAUGGAUACCAUAUGAAUAAAAUUGGUGCUCUUCUAUGUCUGGCUUUAUUUACUCAGCAUAGAGCUUUUGAUAUUCAACCAUAUUUUUAGAAUUCUAGUUGUUUGUUACUUUCUUUAUUUUUGUGUUGUAUUUAGUGAUGCAUUGAUAAAUGUUUAAAUGUUUAAGCUAGAUUUCAAAAAAUCCCCAAAACAAAAUCCCUAAGACAAACAAAACAAGAAAUUCUGAAUGGUAGCCUGAUGUAAACACUCUGAAAGCAGCAAAUUUCAAGCUACCAACAUGUCAUCAGUCAUUUUGAAAAAUUCCUGAAAAUUGCACAGUGAGCUCUUCUGAGCCAGCAUGAGCCUGCUCCAUCUUCCUCUGGUCAUUUUCCAUUGUAUGAAUAUAGUCCAAUUUGCUGGUCAUUUCUACUCUUGAUGUGAAUGUGUGUGUUGUUGCUAUUUCUGCCCUAUUAUGACUACAGCUUCAGUGAAGAUUCUUCUACAAAUCUUGGAUGAACAUGUUUCUAUUACUCUUGUAUAAAUACCUAGGAGUAGAAUUAUUUAGUCUUAGGGUAAGUGUAACUAUAAAUUUAUGAAAAAUAUUGCCA